AAGGCUGAGACGGACGGCUGGGCGGAGACAGAGAUGGUGAUGCGCUCUCGAGUCCCGCCGGCUGGUCGGGGAAAUUGCAUUUGUCAAGUCUUCUCGGAGCUAGCGGCGGUUGCAUUUGUCUCGGUCCCUUUCUCACUGGUACUGUCUGUCUCAAGCUUCAGUUCUUCCGAGUGGUUCCAGCGGUGGCGAAAGAGAUGGCGGCGGACGCCAGCGAGCCUUCGCGGCAGACCCGGUGACCGGAGGGUGCGGCGGUUAUUUUGGUGGCGGCGCGGCCCGCGGCGAGGGAGGCCCUCAGGCCGGUCGUCGCGUGGGCGCUGACGCACGUCGUGAAGCACGGCGACUCCAUCCCGCUCCUCCUCGUCAUGGCUGUCUACUUCUGUUACGGGAUGGCCUCUGUUACGCCCCUCCUCCUCCUCCUCACCGUCCCAAAACGCUCACUCCCAUGUCCUGCAGUCUUUUUCAGAAGGUAGUUUGCAGCAGCCAUAAUUAGGUCGAUACAUGACAUGGAGAGCAUAAUAUGAGAUUGCUUGCACUGACAGCUAGAAGAUCAUGUCUUAUCAGCCCCUGGAUCAACUUUGGUCAUAUGGCUGAUAUUUAGCCUGAACUUCAUUUUUGUUUCAUCUCUUUUUAGUUGUAAGGAACAACAGAUAGUAACAAGAAAAUUAGUGUAGGCUAGCAUUUGGCAUUUUUAGUCUAGUAGCUGUAAGUGUACUUAGUCAGAAUGGACAAAGGCACCGGUGAUCUGAUAUCAUUCAGCAUUUUUGUUGUGUUUUAAUUCAGGCCCAAAAAGCCUUUACGAGCAGUUUGGGAUCCAAUCGUUUUUUUCCUUUUUCCAGUAAUACACGUGCCAGCGUACUAAUCCAAAUAAAAUCUGACUGUUGCCAAUUAGAAAAACAGGCAGCUGUCAAUUGGACACUCCAAGCAAUGAACUGGAAUUAUAGAGUACACGGGCGAUUUUAAGAUUAGGUUUUGACGUGGCCGGCAUCUACGAACACACGAGUGACCAAAACGUGAAGCGCUCCUCUCGACAGUAGCCCACCGCGCCGGGGAGAAGGUCGCUUCGCCUUCACAGCUUCACUCCUCUACUCCGCCGCUCCCAUGGCGAUUACCAGGCCCCGAAGCCGCGCCGCCCCCCUCGUCCCGUUUCUCCUUCUCAUCCUCCUCGCUCCGCUAAUCUCUCCCUUUCCAGGCUACGGUUGAGCUGGGCGCCGGACUGGCCCUGAACCUGGACCAUCCUGCUGUGCUGAAUAGGCCUGACCGUCUUGUGCUUCGCCCCGCCGCCGGCCAGGGCCGCCCCGACCGCCUACAGUGCCAUGGACUUAAAGCUGUGAAGAAGAUUAUUUUAUCAAGUUAAUGAACACAUCAUGUGAAUUGCUUCAUACUGGGUCAUCUGAUGUUGUAACUAUUGGAGAGCAUUCUUAUAGCAAGGAUGGAAGGUCCAUGGCCAUUCUUAACACUUUCAUCCAUUUCAUACAGUUUCCGGGCUGCGGUUGAGCUGAGCGCUGGAGCGGGUCCUGAACCUGGACCGUCCUACUGCGCUGAAUCUGCCUGAUCGCCUCGUGCUCGGCCCUGCCGCUGGCAGGGCCACCACGACCGCCUACAGUGCCAUGGUUUCUCCUUUUGCUUCCAUACUCCUGUCAGUUUCUCGCAUUUUUAGGUGCUGACAAGCUGAGUUGGCCCCUUGAAAUACAUGUUCACUCUUGUUCAAAAAAUCCACGCGUGACAUUGUGACAUUAAUUUGACUGUGUUAUGUGCUCUCUCUGCUGUAGCUACUUGACUGUUGCAUAGUGUAGAUCGCGAUUCACACUAUCAAUGUAUUCACCAUAAUGUGGCUCUUGUAUGUAAAUUCUAACUGUAUUGGCCAAGUAUGAAGCAAUUCCUAGAAAACCAGAAUGAUGUUAUCGCCACCUGAAGAUUUUUUUUUAACAUACUGUGGAUAACAUAAACUUAUUAUUAACCACGGUCUAUGAUGUUCUGUAAUAUUUGUUCUAUAGAAGCAGUUAUCUCUCACCAUCUCUGUGUAUCAAAUUAUCAAUUAAUAACAAAGGCCAACCUUUGAACUCUGGGUCUGUAGUGGUCAGAAGGACCAGUGAUGGCAUCUCCAAGGCUAUGGAAUUCUUCAGAGAAGCCCUUGAAGCAACGCAAAAUAUAUGAAGGCUUCCCGCAUGCUAGGCGAUCAGUUAGCACUGGCACGGGUUGCGAAAUCUUAUCUACCAUAUGCGGUUGGAAAAAUUUCCAGGCAUGAGGCAUUUACAGGUGAAGUCAAUUGAGCAUCUAUAUUCUUUCUGCCUUGUGCAGUUUAUAAUUGGGCUCCACCUUUGGGUGCUGGACAGUUUCAUGGUAUGCCCUUGGAUAUUAAGGUACACCAUCUUUCCAACUUGUAGGGAACUUAUUUGAUCCAGGUCCUUUUCUUGAUACAUUAUUAUUUUUGUUUAAACAAUUGUAACUUGUACAGUUAUAUAUAUUUAUGGUUACCAACACACUGUAAUUUUCGCUGUUGCUUGUUUGAUGGGUGUUAUGAUGUUCUUACUCGUCCAUUUCAAAGGUUCAAAGAAAGCCGAUGCUUGAGGCAUGGAAUUUCUACAGCUUGACAUCUCAGUUGUCUGAUAUCUUUUGCCUAAUAUUGAAGACUGGCAGAACGAAAUAUGACUUCUGAAGGCUUGCUCCACAAUGAAGCUCUGCUUGCUCCCGACCUUUGUGCCGCGAUGAAUCUGUGCUGGCAGAAUUAUAGUUGUACAUCACAUGCACUCAGGUUGUCAGGUGGCGCACAAUGAAAACAGCGUGAUUCAGAAUGCGGCGAGAGUUUGCUCGGGCACAUGAGGUGACUUAAGGAGAUUGGUGUACGAGCAGCACACGUAAUACUAGCUAACGGAGUAAUCUUGCGGGAAAUCACCAGUUGUUUUGGUGUUCUUUUGGUCGGUCUGUGACCUUUCAUGUAACAGCUUGUGUCUCUGUGUGUAUUGGAUUUUAACGUUUCAAUAUAAUGCAUAUCAAAUGAUGUUUGUUAUCUUCA
Long non-coding RNA from Brachypodium distachyon (stiff brome), 3013 nucleotides. RefSeq lists it as uncharacterized. The record is from RefSeq and is a predicted model, not a curated record. The transcript is spliced from 6 exons. Lineage: Eukaryota; Viridiplantae; Streptophyta; Magnoliopsida; Poales; Poaceae.